Alosa sapidissima (American shad) is the source of this 6620-nucleotide RNA transcript. RefSeq lists it as uncharacterized. The record is from RefSeq and is a predicted model, not a curated record. Lineage: Eukaryota; Metazoa; Chordata; Actinopteri; Clupeiformes; Clupeidae. The transcript has 2 exons.
CCAUUAGGGCGAUAUAUGUAUAGAGACUUUUAUAUUGACACAUUCAGAAAGAAUAGGACCUUUUAUUUUGAUACCGUUUCCUGUAUUUUCCUUACCACUUCCUGCCUUGUCAUCAGUUACUUCACAUUUAGUUCCUAUCUGCUGAAAACGGUUUCUACUUAAAUAAUUCCUCUCUGUGAACGAUGCUAGAAGCAAAGUCGUAAGUAAAUGCAUUGUUAAGUUAAAUUAUUGAUAGUUUAAGUUAAGUUUAUAGUAGAAAGAGAAGGUAAUAAAUAGGUUAAAAAGACCGUUUUAUUUACAUGUAUUUACAAUGAGAUUUCAUGAGACUUCAUGUGAAGCUGAACUUUAUGUUAAAAACAGUCAAACUUUAUUUUGUUGCAGUUUUCACUCUGCCAUGUAAUGCUGGAUCUUCAAGUAAACAACAGUGAAAUGUUAACUACAGAACAGACUCCUGGUUAUUGCAUCAGAGUUUAACUUGUUGGAUAGCUUCAGUUAAUACACUACAGUGAGGACAACAUAGUGAAAAGACUGAGAAGUUAGCAUUGAACAUCAAGUCAAGAUGGAAACUAGAUCUAAUAAAUCAAGUAGAAGUGGAAGCAGCUUUCAUUCAUCUACCUCAUCAACCAAUGCUUUAUUUCACGCACGAGCAAAAGCAGCAGCUGCAAAAGUGCGCGCCGAAUAUGCUGAGCAAGAAGCCAAAGCUAGGAUAGAAAAAGUUAAAAAAGAGACUGAAAUUGAAACACUAGCCAUCUGCCGUGAAGCAGCAGAAGCUGAAGCCGUAGCAGCUGUCUGGGAGUCAGCAGUUACAGGGAGAAAAAAAUGUAUUGUGCUGGAUGAAACAAACGCAACAGAGCAAAGCAAACUUGAACGAACAAGUGAAUACAUCCAAACUCACUUCCAUUCCACUAAUCCUGUCCAACAAACAACCACCUAUGCCACUCUCAGUUAUAGCCCGAACAACCCCUUUGUUUCACACCACCAGCCGCCUGUGUUUUUAUAUGAGAGCACUAACAAUGUGGAAUUUACAGACUUUGACUUGGACUAUUCACCGCCAGCGGCCAAACAUUCAGUCAGCCAGAAUCCAUUUACCAGAGAAGGGCCCCGGGUUAUUCCCAAGAGUCUCACCUCACAGAUCAGUGACUUGAAUAUCGAGGCUCCAUCCUUCAACCCCCAGCCGAAAAAUACUCAAAGUAUGCUUGCAACUGAACACCUGGCACAAUAUUUAGCUCGGCGUGACCUAGUGAAUACGAGUCUGUACGAGUUUGACGAUAAACCUGAAAAUUAUCGUGCUUGGCUGUCGUCAUACAAAAAUGCCACUCAAGGACUUGGUCUCACAGCCACUGAGGAAUUGGAUUUGAUGACACGAUGGCUUGGAAAAGAAUCCAGCAACCAGGUGAAACGCCUCCGUGCAGUGCACAUUGCAAGCCCACAGACAGCACUGGUGAAAGCCUGGGAACGUCUUCAACAGUGUUAUGCAGCCCCAGAGGUGAUUGAAAAGGCCCUCUUCACCCGACUGGACGCAUUUCCCAGAGUCUCAGCCAAAGAAAAUCUGAAGCUACGAGAGCUGUCUGAUCUGCUUAUGGAAGUGCAGUGUGCCAAGGAAGAUGGCUACUUACCAGGCCUGUCCUACCUGGACACGACGCGUGGAAUUGAGCCUAUAGUGACAAAGCUGCCUUAUGGACUCCAGGAAAGAUGGGUCUCAGUCGGUUCUAAGUAUAAAGAAGAAAAUAGAGGACGGUUCCCACCGUUCGAUUACUUCACGAAAUUCAUAUGUUAUGAGGCCAAGAAAAGAAAUGACCCCAGCUUUGCCCUUUUAAAUACCACUACAACAUCAUCUGUCAGAGCUGAAAGUGCCUUUCCUAAAACCCAGAAACCCAUUGCAGUUCACAAGAUCAAUGUCACUCCCGCAGAGGCAAAUGUCUCUAGUGAUCCGAGUAAGAUCUGCCCAUUACAUGCAAAACCCCACCCACUGAAGAAGUGCAAAGCCUUCAGAGCCGAAACCCUUGAUGACAGAAAGGUAUUUCUGAAAGAAAACGGAAUCUGCUUCAAGUGCUGUAGCUCCACCAACCAUAUGGCAAAGAACUGCACUACAAUUGUGAAGUGUUUUGAGUGUGACAGCACCCAACAUGUCUCAGCUAUGCACCCGGGACCAGCACCGCUACCUACAACUCCUCUGACCUCGCCACAGCAUGGCGGGGAGGGAGAAGCGGUAAACGACACCAGUGAGAUUAGCUCAAGCUGCACAGCAGUAUGCGGCACAGGACAAGUCGGACGGUCGUGCUCCAAGAUAUGCCUGGCAAGAGUGUACCAGAAAGACCACCCAGACGAAGUCAUCAAGGCCUACAUCGUGUUAGACGACCACAGUAACCGCUCGCUGGCCAAGUCUAGUUUCUUUGACAAGUUUGACAUUCACACUAAGUCAUAUCCUUACCAACUGAAAACGUGUUCUGGUGUAGUGGAAACGUCUGGCAGAAGGGCAUCGGAUUUUUUCGUGGAGUCCCUAAAUGGAAAAGUUACAAUCCCCUUACCACCACUCACUGAGUGUAAUGACUUACCUGACAAUAGGUCCGAAAUUCCCACACCAAAUGCCGCUCUUCAUCAGCCUCACCUGUCAAAGGUAGCAGAACACAUCCCAGAGCUGGACCCCACAGCUGAGAUCCUCCUGCUACUAGGGAGAGACACAAUCAGAGCACACAAAGUACGGGAACAAAUAAAUGGCCCUGCCAAUGCACCCUUCGCUCAGCGCCUUGACUUGGGCUGGGUGCUGGUAGGAGAAGUCUGCUUAGGGAACACACACAAGCCGAAUGUCAGUUCUUUCCGGACGACCAUGGUUGACUGUCAUCGGCCCUCACUCUUUCAGCCAUGCACAAGCAAUUUGCACAUUAAAGAGGAACUUCACGACAGCACCUUACCACCCAGAGCUAAGGAAGACAGUCUGGGUCAAAACGUGUUUGACUGCACUGAACAGGAUAAUAAGCUAGCACCUUCAAUCGAAGAUGAAACUUUCCUAAAAAUCAUGGACAAAGAAGUCUACAGAAACCAUUUACACAGCUGGGUUGCUCCAUUGCCGUUCAGACAACCAAGGCAACAGCUUCCCAACAAUCGCGAGCAAGCCCUCAAGCGGUUUGAAUCACUCCAACGCCAAUUCAGAAGAAAGCCAGAAAUGCAAAAGCAAUACUUGGAAUUCAUGGACAAACUGCUGAAAAACAACCAUGCUGAGGUGGCACCAGAGCUAAGAGAAGAAGAGCGCUGGUAUUUACCAAGCUUUGCAGUGUAUCACCCACAGAAACCCGAUCAAAUCAGGGUUGUGUUUGAUUCAAGUGCCCAACAGUCUGGAAUCUCCUUGAAUAAUGUGCUCUUGACAGGACCGGAUCUGAACAACACCCUUCUAGGAGUGCUCAUGCGGUUCCGAAAAGACAAGGUCGCUGUGAUGGCGGACAUUCAACAAAUGUUCUAUUGCUUCCUUGUGGCCGAAAGGCACAGAAACUACCUGCGAUUCCUAUGGUUCAAAGACAACAACGUAGCCAACGAGGUAAUUGACUACAGAAUGAAAGUUCAUGUUUUUGGAAACAGCCCAUCUCCUGCAGUGGCAAUCUAUGGGCUCAGAAGAGCCAUCAGAGAUGGCGCAGAGAAAUAUGGAGCAGACACAGUCAACUUCGUCGAACGGCACUUUUAUGUUGAUGAUGGCCUCUGUUCUGUCCCAACUGAUGCAGAGGCUAUUGGGCUGCUCCAUAGGACUCAAGCCUCACUUGCUGAGUCUAACCUGAGGCUCCACAAAUUUGCCUCAAACAGUCAGGCUGUCUUGGAAGCCUUCCCAAGCGAGGACUGCAUACAAGCCAAAAAGGAGGUAGACCUCAGCGGAGAUGAGUCACCCACCCAACGCAGCUUGGGGCUCCUGUGGGAAAUAGCAAGCGACACAUUCACCUUCUCUGUGUCAACUGACACCAAACCAUUCACCCGUCGAGGGGUUCUUUCCAUGGUGAACAGUGUCUUUGACCCUUUAGGGUUUCUGGCUCCAGUUACGAUCCAAGGCAGGGACCUUCUCAGAGAUUUGAAUUCCGAGACAUCGGAGUGGGACACCCCAUUGCCUGAAGAUAAGUUACGCAAGUGGGAGGCUUGGAGAAACUCGCUUCAAGACUUAAGGCACUUUCACAUAUCUAGGAUGUACACAGGCAUCUGUCCAACCAAGGCUGAGCGAGUAGAACUCCACGUCUUUAGCGAUGCAUCUGUGAAGGCCAUUGGCGCCGUGGCCUAUUUGAGAGCCAUCCAAGGAGACACAGUAGACGUUGGAUUUGUCAUGGCAAAGGCCAAACUUGCUCCUCAAUCAGAUCCAACCAUUCCCAGACUUGAACUGUGUGCAGCAGUCUUAGCAGUGGAAAUAGCUGAGCGGAUUCAGGAUGAAUUAGAUCUAAAGCUGGACGCCACCAAGUUCUACACUGAUAGCAAGGUUGUCCUUGGAUACAUUUACAACCAGUCCAGACGGUUCUAUGUGUACGUCCACAAUCGUGUCCUGCGUAUACGCCAAUCUACCAUCCCUGAACAAUGGCACUACGUGAACACCGAAGACAAUCCGGCUGAUCUGGCAUCACGGUCGGUUCCAGCAGCACGCCUCACACAGACGAGGUGGUUCAACGGACCAACCUUCCUGCGCAAGCUGUCCGUUCAGCCAGACCUAGCUCAGUCAUUCAGCUUAGUCUCUCCGGAGUCCGAUGCAGAGGUCCGUCCAGUUGUGAAGAGCUACAUCACCGAUCUGCAAGGGAAAGUUCUCAGCACAGAGCGCUUUGAAAGGUUCUCCACAUUCGACACUCUCCAACGAGCCAUCGCACUCCUGAUUCAUAUAGCAAGAUCCUUCAAGACUCCGACAGGCAAGUGUAAGGGAUGGCAUCGCUGUGGCUUACCUCACUCAGUUGAUGAGCUUUCACAAGCAAGAGAAGUCAUAAUCAGAGCUGUUCAGAGGAAUACGUUUGUGAAGGAAUUUGAAGCUCUGGAGAGAGGAAAGCAAGUUCCGUUAAACAGCUGCCUACGCUCCCUCAACCCGAUCUUACAGGCUGACCUCCUCCGCCUUGGAGGCAGACUGAAGAAUGCGGAUGUGGCCAUUGAACAAAAUAACCCUGUCAUUCUCCCAAAAGAACACCACGUUUCCUUGCUUCUUACCAGAUAUCAUCAUGCCCAAGUAAAGCAUCAGGGCCGUCAUCUAACAGAAGGUGCUGUACGAGCUGCUGGACUCUGGAUCCUGGGAGGCAAGCGGCUUGUGAACUCAACUAUUCACAAGUGCAUCACCUGUCGCAGACUUAGAGGACGGAUGCAAGAACAACAAAUGGCAGAUUUGCCCGCAGAGCGCCUUACAACCUGCCCUCCCUUCACAUACGUAGGCCUAGAUGUUUUCGGACCCUGGCACGUCUCCACCAGACGCACCAGAGGGACGCAACCUGAGAGCAAGUGCUGGGCCAUACUAUUCUGCUGCAUGAGCUCCAGAGCAGUUCACGUUGAGGUGAUUACCUCGAUGGACACCUCAAGCUGCAUAAACGCGUUGAGGCGUUUCUUUGCCAUAAGAGGACCAGCCAAACAACUGAGGUCAGACUGUGGCACGAAUUUCAUUGGGGCCUGUAAAGAACUCGGGCUGAGUGCAGACCAACCGGACAGCACGGUGCAGAGGUACCUGCACCAACAAGGAUGCUCCUGGGUGUUUAACCCGCCUCAUGCCUCACACAUGGGGGGUUCAUGGGAGCGCCUCAUUGGGGUAGCCCGAAGAAUCCUGGAUUCAAUGCUACGUGAUCACAGCACUCGCCUAACUCAUGAAGUUCUGUGCACACUAAUGGCGGAAGUGACCGCAAUUCUGAAUGCAAGACCGCUAGUUCCAGUAUCGAAUGAUCCAGAGAAUCCAUACAUCCUUACACCAUCGAUGCUGUUAACGCAGAAAGUUGGGGUCCCACCACCUCCAGGUGACUUCACAGACAGGGACCUCCUCACUAAGCAGUGGAGACAAGUACAAGCCCUAUCCAACUUGUUCUGGAAUCGUUGGAGACAAGCGUACCUGUCAACCCUACAAAGCCGCAAGAAAUGGACAAGGUCCCACCAGAACCUGCAAGACGGUGACCUCGUCCUUCUCAAAGACAACCAAGCUGCCCGCAACAACUGGCCUUUGGCAGUGGUCACAAAGGCUAUUCCAGGAACAGAUGGAAGAGUCCGUAAGGUGGAAUUGAGGACAGCAAACCAAGGACAAUCAAAGACUUACCUUAGACCAGUGACCGAAACUGUUUUGCUUCUCCGUAAGGACUGAUGUUUCUGAUGUAGUUCUUGAUUGAGUUAAAUGUUUAUCCUAGUGUAGUGACCUCACAGUGGUCAGGCGGGGAGUGUGUCGCCAUUAGGGCGAUAUAUGUAUAGAGACUUUUAUAUUGACACAUUCAGAAAGAAUAGGACCUUUUAUUUUGAUACCGUUUCCUGUAUUUUCCUUACCACUUCCUGCCUUGUCAUCAGUUACUUCACAUUUAGUUCCUAUCUGCUGAAAACGGUUUCUACUUAAAUAAUUCCUCUCUGUGAACGAUGCUAGAAGCAAAGUCUUUUCACUCUGCCAUGUAAUGCUGGAUCUUCAAGUAAACAACAGUGAAAUGUUAACUACA